GGACACGAGGGUGAUCAGCUAAGACAUCUGCCACCCAGUGAUAACUAGGGCUGGCCUGGGCUAGGUGGCUGUCCACUGUCUCCCUCACUGGUCCAUGUGUGUCCCCCUAAACCUGCGCACUCCCCGGGCAGAACCCUUCUCCAGUCAAAAGUGCCUGAGGAGUGUUCUCCCCUCCAGACCAGCUCUUAGGCGCCACGAAGAGGGGACAUGAGUUAGCCAAACCUCCAAGACUGCAGACCCACUGAGUGACAGGGGACAGUGCCUUUCAGAAGAGAGGAAACCAUCAGUACAUGAUGUUAGCU
Molecule: unclassified non-coding RNA, 302 nt
Organism: Cavia aperea (Brazilian guinea pig)
Lineage: Eukaryota; Metazoa; Chordata; Mammalia; Rodentia; Caviidae
Gene: 7SK
Rfam family: 7SK RNA
About the family: 7SK was discovered as an abundant small nuclear RNA in the mid-70s but a possible function has only recently been suggested. Two independent studies have found that 7SK RNA binds the CDK9/cyclin T complex (known as elongation factor P-TEFb).
Source: Ensembl